RNAcentral lists this ribosomal RNA (446 nucleotides) under uncultured bacterium. RNAcentral describes it as "bacterial SSU rRNA". It matches the Rfam family "Bacterial small subunit ribosomal RNA", at positions 355 to 825 of the family's 1533-position model. The record is from RNAcentral.
UCGGGAAUUUUGGGCAAUGGGGGAAACCCUGACCCAGCAACGCCGCGUGAAGGAUGAAGUAUUUCGGUAUGUAAACUUCGAAAGAAUAGGAAGAAUAAAUGACGGUACUAUUUAUAAGGUCCGGCUAACUACGUGCCAGCAGCCGCGGUAAUACGUAGGGACCAAGCGUUGUUCGGAUUUACUGGGCGUAAAGGGCGCGUAGGCGGCAUGACAAGUCACUUGUGAAAUCUCUGGGCUUAACCCAGAACGGCCAAGUGAUACUGUCGCGCUAGAGUGCAGAAGGGGCAAUCGGAAUUCUUGGUGUAGCGGUGAAAUGCGUAGAUAUCAAGAGGAACACCUGAGGUGAAGACGGGUUGCUGGGCUGACACUGACGCUGAGGCGCGAAAGCCAGGGGAGCAAACAGGAUUAGAUACCCAGUAGUCCCUGAGCGGGCUGGCAAGGCGCAU